Long non-coding RNA from Gallus gallus (chicken), 1464 nucleotides. RefSeq lists it as uncharacterized. The transcript has 2 exons. NCBI's taxonomy places the organism in Eukaryota, Metazoa, Chordata, Aves, Galliformes, Phasianidae. The record is from RefSeq and is a predicted model, not a curated record.
UCAGAUAAAGCUGUGCUCCAGACAAGUUCAGGCAGACAUCACACUUGUUCAGGCUGGGGCUGGCAGAGCCCUGGUGAUGGUUGGCUGUGAUUGCUGAGCCCUGAGGAAGAUCCCAGGACUUCCAGCAGCACCGCUCCUGGUGGAAGGGGGACCUGCAGACUCUGACAAGCUACUGCUGAGAUUAUCUUCUGGGGACAAACCAGGUUGAACAUCACAGGAGCAAGAACAGAUACAGUCAUAUGAAGCCAGAGAUAUUUAAGAGGAUAACUGAACUCUGGGUCUUUGUACACAGAAGAAAUCCUACUUGUGCCCUGUGCCUCCUCCUGCAUCGAGAAACUCAACUGAGCGGCUCACUGCAGACCUGGAGUAAAAAUAAUGUAUACAGUGCAAUUUGUUUGCCUCUUUGUGUUUUUAAUUACUGCUAAUAACCCCAGUCUUCAAACUAUAUUCUUGUCUUGGAGAACUGUACAUUACGAGAGAUGCACUUAUCAGUACACAGUGCAACUGUGCCCACAGACAACAUAUUUUAAUGACUCAGGUUACCAAUCAUACUAUUCCAAUCAUAAAUCUAUUCAAGAAAGAAUAAAAAUGAAGGAAUGCACAUGCCAAUAAAAAUUAGUAAGUGGUCAGGCAAAAGAAUGAUACUUUAUCUCCCAUUUUGGCCAAUAAAUACAGAUUUUAUUUUUCUGUAACACAUCCAAAAGUUGGAUAAUACACCAUUUUUACCAUUACAACACUUCAUUAAAAAAAAAUAAUAACAAUUCCUCUAACUGUCCUUGACUUUAGGAUUUGAAAAAGCAUUUUUCACAUUAUUUUAUACUUAUCUCUAAUUUUAUAAUAAUUUUAUAAUAAUUUUAUAAUAAAAUUAUACAUAAUUUUAUACUUAUCUCUAAUGCUAGUUAUUCUACUGGCAGUGGUAAAUCACAUCACUCUUAAGAUGGGGAUCAUCUACCACCGCAUAAGUUUGUUCUUUUUUUGCCUACGCUCAUUCAGCAUGAAUGCCACAGGAAAAGAGGAUAUCUGUCCUUAAUUAAAUACAUGACUAUUUAUUUCUUCUGCAGUCGGUAUUUUCUUUAUGGUCUCUCACAUAAAGAUGUGGGAAACGGUUAACAUUCAGACUUGCAAGGCAAAACAAAACACAAUACGACUGCUGCCAAGUAUGGCAUUCUUCUGUGUGUCACAGCCAGUGAACUUAAUCACGGUUCAUUAACCCUAAAUCCAGUUUCUCAUUCACGUACCCAAUAGUGUUGUAUCAAAUCAUCUCUCAUAACUUCAGCUUGAUGUUCUUAUAUCAAUGUGGGCUUUUUUUUUUUUAUCAACAUAGCCUAUAGUCCUUGCAGUUUUCAUUAUAUUUAUAAAUGGAAAUACAGCACGUUGUAAUUAAUCAUUUCAAAAGCUGGUUUUGAAGAGAAAUAAACUGGGGUUACCAAAUCUCUUCCCUGAGGAUAGAGACAGUCUGAUUAA